UNGCUCAGUGGUUAAGAGCACUGGCUGCUCUUCCAGAGGACCUGGGUUCAACUCCCAG
RNAcentral lists this transfer RNA (58 nucleotides) under Neotoma lepida (desert woodrat). It matches the Rfam family "tRNA", at positions 8 to 63 of the family's 71-position model. From Rfam's summary of the family: Transfer RNA (tRNA) molecules are approximately 80 nucleotides in length. Their secondary structure includes four short double-helical elements and three loops (D, anti-codon, and T loops). Further hydrogen bonds mediate the characteristic L-shaped molecular structure. tRNAs have two regions of fundamental functional importance: the anti-codon, which is responsible for specific mRNA codon recognition, and the 3' end, to which the tRNAs corresponding amino acid is attached (by aminoacyl-tRNA synthetases). tRNAs cope with the degeneracy of the genetic code in two manners: having more than one tRNA (with a specific anti-codon) for a particular amino acid; and 'wobble' base-pairing, i.e. permitting non-standard base-pairing at the 3rd anti-codon position. The record is from Rfam by way of RNAcentral. Lineage: Eukaryota; Metazoa; Chordata; Mammalia; Rodentia; Cricetidae.